AGCUUCAAUGCACUUGUUGAGUAAGCCAGGGCCAUCUUCACGCAUGGGCCUGAGGGGAACUUGCCUGUGGGCCCAUCCUAAUCUGUGCAUGUUAACCCUCGCAAGAUCGGAAAACUUCAAAAUUGACAGUAGUUGUAGUUGUCGUAGGGGCCCCAGUACACUGCUUUGCCCGGGGCCCGUAAU
This is a long non-coding RNA of Varanus komodoensis (Komodo dragon), 183 nucleotides long. RefSeq lists it as uncharacterized. The record is from RefSeq and is a predicted model, not a curated record. The transcript is spliced from 3 exons. Lineage: Eukaryota; Metazoa; Chordata; Lepidosauria; Squamata; Varanidae.